RNAcentral lists this transfer RNA (75 nucleotides) under Parcubacteria group bacterium ADurb.Bin326. RNAcentral describes it as "tRNA-Pro". It matches the Rfam family "tRNA". From Rfam's summary of the family: Transfer RNA (tRNA) molecules are approximately 80 nucleotides in length. Their secondary structure includes four short double-helical elements and three loops (D, anti-codon, and T loops). The record is from RNAcentral.
CGGGCUGUAGCGCAGUUGGCUAGCGCGCGUCGUUCGGGACGACGAGGUCGCAGGUUCAAGUCCUGUCAGCCCGAC